This is a long non-coding RNA of Cyprinus carpio carpio, 463 nucleotides long. NCBI's taxonomy places the organism in Eukaryota, Metazoa, Chordata, Actinopteri, Cypriniformes, Cyprinidae. The record is from Ensembl.
UGAUGCUCCAUGCCAUGCUUAGCUCCUCAAUUUGCCGCUGGAGUGCUUGGCCCCGUAAUUGCUGCUUGCAGCUAUAUUUAGGGGCCAAGCACCGAAGGUGCGUAGGCACCUAUUGUAUCCGUUGGCGUUAUUAGGGGCCAAGCACCGAAGGUGCGUAGGCACCUAUUGAAAUCGUUGGCGUUAUUAUUAUUCUUCUUCUUCUUCUUCUUCCGCCUCAAGUCUAUAGCAGCCCAUAGAACCGAUUGCGGGAAAGUUGUAUAAUUUGGCACACUGAUAGAGGACAGUCCCAGCAUUAACUAUAGCAAAUUUGAAGUCUCUAUCUUCUACUCUCUAGCGCCACCACUUGUCCAAAAUUUCAAUAUUUUUAUGCUAAUAACUUUUGAACCGUAAGCCACAAAAUGAAAAUUCUUUUUUCCUCUGAAUCCUUGGCUCAUGCCAAGUCGAAUGAACCCCGAAAUUCAAA